RNAcentral lists this ribosomal RNA (403 nucleotides) under Fusobacteriota bacterium. RNAcentral's name for it is "Fusobacteria bacterium partial 16S ribosomal RNA". It matches the Rfam family "Bacterial small subunit ribosomal RNA", at positions 355 to 776 of the family's 1533-position model. The record is from RNAcentral. Lineage: Bacteria; Fusobacteriati; Fusobacteriota.
UGGGGAAUAUUGCACAAUGGAGGGAACUCUGCUGCAGCGACGCCGCGUGAACGAAGAAGGCUUUCGAGUCGUAAAGUUCUUUUAUAUGGGAAGAUAAUGACGGUACCAUAAGAAAAAGCCCCGGCUAACUACGUGCCAGCAGCCGCGGUAAUACGUAGGGGGCUAGCGUUGUCCGGAAUCACUGGGCGUAAAGGGUUCGCAGGCGGAAAUGCAAGUCAGGUGUAAAAGGCAGUAGCUUAACUACUGUAAGCAUUUGAGACUGCAUAUCUUGAGAAGAGUAGAGGUAAGUGGAAUUUUUAGUGUAGCGGUGAAAUGCGUAGAUAUUAAAAAGAAUACCGGUGGCGAAGGCGACUUACUGGGCUCAUUCUGACGCUGAGGAACGAAAGCGUGGGUAGCAAACAGG